AUCGCUUCUCGGCCUUUUGGCUAGGAUCAAGUGUAGUAUCUGUUCUUAUCAGUUUAAAUGCGAGACUUAGCACCUGAUACGUUCAAGAAUAUAAUAAUCCAAUGGCUACAUCAUUU
This 116-nucleotide small nuclear RNA is filed under the name Myotis brandtii (Brandt's bat). RNAcentral's name for it is "U2 spliceosomal RNA". It matches the Rfam family "U2 spliceosomal RNA". Rfam says of the family: U2 is a small nuclear RNA (snRNA) component of the spliceosome (involved in pre-mRNA splicing). Complementary binding between U2 snRNA (in an area lying towards the 5' end but 3' to hairpin I) and the branchpoint sequence (BPS) of the intron results the bulging out of an unpaired adenosine, on the BPS, which initiates a nucleophilic attack at the intronic 5' splice site, thus starting the first of two transesterification reactions that mediate splicing. Lineage: Eukaryota; Metazoa; Chordata; Mammalia; Chiroptera; Vespertilionidae. The record is from Rfam by way of RNAcentral.